UACGUAGGGGGCUAGCGUUGUCCGGAAUCAUUGGGCGUAAAGCGCGUGUAGGCGGCCCGGUAAGUCCGCUGUGAAAGUCGGGGGCUCAACCCUCGGAUGCCGGUGGACACUGUCGGGCUCGAGUACGGAAGAGGCGAGUGGAAUUCCUGGUGUAGCGGUGAAAUGCGCAGAUAUCAGGAGGAACACCGGCGGUGUAGACGGCUUGCUGGACCGUAGCUGACGCUGAGACACAAAGCGUGGGUAGCAAACAGG
RNAcentral lists this ribosomal RNA (252 nucleotides) under uncultured bacterium. Its description in RNAcentral is "partial 16S ribosomal RNA". It matches the Rfam family "Bacterial small subunit ribosomal RNA", at positions 524 to 776 of the family's 1533-position model. The record is from RNAcentral.